Molecule: ribosomal RNA, 497 nt
Filed under: uncultured bacterium
Lineage: Bacteria
Description: partial 16S ribosomal RNA
Rfam family: Bacterial small subunit ribosomal RNA
Source: RNAcentral
UAUUAACUCUGGCGGCGUGCCUAAUACAUGCAAGUCGAGCGAACAGAUAAGGAGCUUGCUCCUUUGACGUUAGCGGCGGACGGGUGAGUAACACGUGGAUAACCUACCUAUAAGACUGGGAUAACUUCGGGAAACCGGAGCUAAUACCGGAUAACAUAUUGAACCGCAUGGUUCAAUAGUGAAAGGCGGCUUUGCUGUCACUUAUAGAUGGAUCCGCGCCGUAUUAGCUAGUUGGUAAGGUAACGGCUUACCAAGGCAACGAUACGUAGCCGACCUGAGAGGGUGAUCGGCCACACUGGAACUGAGACACGGUCCAGACUCCUACGGGAGGCAGCAGUAGGGAAUCUUCCGCAAUGGGCGAAAGCCUGACGGAGCAACGCCGCGUGAGUGAUGAAGGUCUUCGGAUCGUAAAACUCUGUUAUCAGGGAAGAACAAAUGUGUAAGUAACUGUGCACAUCUUGACGGUACCUGAUCAGAAAGCCACGGCUAACUACGUG